ACCUCGCUCAGCUUCCGGCUGGUCAUAGUUCCGCUUCCUGUCCGACUCUGGUAUCUUUGCUGAGGGUGACAUUGAGCUGCAAGUUGCAUCUGGGGUGCCUUUAGGAUUCAGCACCAUGGCGGAAGAAGACAUUGAGACCAAAAUCAAGAACUACAAGACUGCCCCUUUUGACAGCCGCUUCCCCAACCAGAACCAGACCAGGAACUGCUGGCAGAACUACCUGGACUUCCACCGCUGCCAGAAGGCAAUGACCGCUAAAGGAGGCAAUGUCUCUGUGUGCGAAUGGUACCAGCGUGUGUACCAGUCCCUCUGCCCCACAUCCUGGCUGCCUGCUAUUCCAUCUCCCCUAUUUGGACAAACAGCAUAGUGUUGACAUGAGGUUUUCAAAGCAGGGCCCACCCUUGGAGCUCUGUACAGUGACAGAUCUCCCCAUCGACAGCUCUGCAGUGGGCCUGGGGCUUUCCUGCUGCCCGUUACUCUCCUCCCAGCACGUCAGCUUGUUCAGAACAGUGAUUUCUGUCUUUUGGGAUCACUGCUGAUUCCCCGGCCCCUGGAAUAGAGGUUGGCACACAGCAGGUACCUGUGGAUAUUGGUUGAACAAACAGGUCACAGACUGGGACGAGCAACGGGCUGAAGGCACGUUUCCCGGGAAGAUCUGAACUGGCUGUACCUCCCUGUCCUCUGUCCUCUGUCCUUCUCCCAGGAUGGUGAAGGGGGACCUAGUACCUAGUGAUCCCCACCCCGGGAUCCUAAAUCAUGACUUACCUGCUAAUAAAAACUCAUUGGAAAAGUGA
Molecule: RNA transcript, 794 nt
Organism: Cercocebus atys (sooty mangabey)
Lineage: Eukaryota; Metazoa; Chordata; Mammalia; Primates; Cercopithecidae
Gene name: cytochrome c oxidase subunit 6B1
Exons: 5
Source: RefSeq, a predicted model, not a curated record